Molecule: long non-coding RNA, 5115 nt
Organism: Gorilla gorilla gorilla (western lowland gorilla)
Lineage: Eukaryota; Metazoa; Chordata; Mammalia; Primates; Hominidae
Exons: 6
Source: RefSeq, a predicted model, not a curated record
GUUCUUGACACCCUUCCAAUCAUAGCCCCUUAGUACUCUGAACUGCUUUUCCUCUCCUUCUGCCUAUGCCCUUUAAAAAAAAAAAAGAUAUAUGUCCUGGAACAUGCUAGUCCUUAAAUAAGUAGUAAUUAGUAUUGUCAUCACUAUAAAGUCAAGAAUGAAAACAACAUAAACAUGUGAAAAUACACACAGCCCAGGCUAAACACACAAGUGCUUAGAGAUGCCAAGUAGGAGAUGUAGGUGGGAUUUUUUUUAGGCAGAGCUUCUGAAAGGCAGUGUCCAUCUGGGUUUUGAGGCAUCUGCCUUCUUAGUGGAAAAAACUGUCUGAGCAAACACAAGGAAGUGAAAACCAUAAGGUUGUGUGUACACAAGAAUGGCUAAUAACUGAAGAGAUGGUCCCUCUAAGGGGCAGAUAAGUAGAGCUGAUUAGAUGGCAGGAGGCAGUGAGAGGGCAGAGAGGAGCCAAGUUGAAGGAACACCUGACAACCAAUUCACCUUUGGCUGCAAUUGCACGUGUCCAUGCCUCAGUAAGAGGAAAUGUCUUCUAGGAGCCUGAAAAUCCUGGGCUGAGGAUGAUACAUGGGACCUCAUCCAAAGCAGCAAGCAUAAAGGAAGAGGCAAGGUGCAGGAUGCAGCAGGGUGUUCAAAUGCAGAGAGGAGGGCAGUAAUAGUGGUGAUAAUGGUGGUUUCAGCCUUUGACACUCAACAAUUGCAGCAAAAAAGUUCAGAAAGAUAAGACCAGGGAGAAAAAUAGACGAUCAGGGAGGAGGAAGUCAUUAGAAACAACUGUGCUCUCAGGGCAAUUUGGUUUAAAAUAUUGACCUUGUAUUUAGUAUUUUGCUAGUGAUUUCAAAAAUUAACAUUUUUAUUGUUUUUCUGGGUUGGAAGGUAUACUGAGGGCUUGACAAAUGUUGAGUUGAAGUUCUGGGCUGGCCCCACUCCCUGGUGCUAAAUUUGCACAAGUGAUACCCCUUAUCUUGGGGGUGUUGUGGAAACCAUUGCUUCCACCCCACUCAUCUCUUUUUAGCCCCUAGCUAGUCAGUAAAUGUUGACAAAUUAAGUCCUCUUUACAUGGCUUGUGCUUCUCCCUACAGUGUCACUAAGCUAAUACGUGCUGUAAAGUGUGGAAGGGAGCCAGCAAUGCUUUCCAGAGAUAAAACUCUCUCCCUAUUUUUUUCCAACCCAAGCCCACUCCCAUGUCAAGUUAACCAUGGUUUUCAGUGGAUGCAGUUGUGAAACUGAGCCAUCAACUGUGCCUAGAGAUCACUGAAGUGAAGGACCGGAGACACUAAAGCUAAGAGUUAAUGUUUAUUGAGCAUCUACAGUAUACCAAGCCCUCUUCUAGAAACAAAUGAACACAAAGUUCUUGGCACAGUGCCUGGCACAGUCAGGCUCCAUCAAGUUUCAUUUCCUUUCUCCCUGCUAUUAAAUGAGAAAGAGGGCAUGAGGAGGUGGGAGUAAAGGAGCCAGAAAGGGAAGGUAGGAGACUGGCAAGAAGAAGCUCUGGCUGCUCUGGGAUGCAACAUGCAGGUUCCCCCAACUCUCCUGGAGUAGGAGGAGAAGCUGCCCCUCACUGACCACUCAGGAAGGAGAGAAGCUUCCCAUGUCAACGCCCCCAGCUCUCGUCUGGGUCAGAGCCAGCAAUGAGGACAGAUGGAAACUUUUUGAACUACGUGCUGGCAAGAAUGUGGCUGACAACACGGUGACCUGGAUCUGCCUCCAGGGGUGCUGGCAGAGCAGGGCUCUCACGCAGGGUUAGGAGAUGCACAGAAUUCAAGGCCUCCGAGUGACAGUUAGCAGAACCUGAAUGGGCUGCUCAUCGAGGAAAAAGCCCUGAUGGAGUCCAGGAACUCAAGGCCCAGUUCUGGUUCCUUCACCAUUCAGCUGUGCCAUCAUGGGCACAUCACUUAGCCUCACUGGAGUUCAGUUUCCUCAGUAGUAAAAUGUAGUAAGGUAAAUAUGAAGAAACUGAGGAUCUAAGAAAUGAAGCCACUUACUCAAAGCCACUCAGUUGAUAGCAAAGUGGAGAUGCAAAGCCAUGUUUGUUCAGCUCCAAAGACAAGUUCCAACAACCACAUUCUAACAUCUUCCUGAUCCCUGCCAAAGCACAGAACAGUCUCUUGUCCCUACUCAGACUCCAAGGACUUACCUGGUUUGAUGGGCUGACCAGUGCCAGGGACCUCCUGUCAGGCUCCAGUUGGUCACGUUCUACCUGGAGCCAGGAGCCAGUUUCCCAUCACAUCACUCAUGCCCCGCCCAUGACCCCACAUGGGUCAGGGAUCUCCUGGAGAGGGGGCAGGCCUCUGCCUUCUGUGGCCUCAAUCUUCCUGGGACCCUUAGUCUUGGUUGGUCAUGGGGCAGGGGUGUCAGAGUUUUCCCAAUCUAGUUUCUAGAUUUCACAGAUUCCAGAGGACUGUUUCCUGGGAUCAAGGACACUUUGUUUUUUGUGUCCUGACUGUGGCUGUCAUGGUUAGAAUGCAUUCAUUAUGAAUCGAGCUGACAUUCUUUCAGGAAACAACUGGUCAUUAGAACAGAAUCUUCUCUCAUUACCAGCAUUUGGAAAGUUGAGUUUCAUUUUGUCGGUCAUUCAAUGUGCAUCUUUCCAAUAAUGUGGUAUGUCCAGCAUUCCAGCAUGAACCACAUAUUUCCCCAAGCUGACCAUACAGCUUUCUUCUGGAGCUUUCACAGGAAACACCCUGAGAUGUAGCCUGCAGAGCUGAAGGCGACAGAUGAACCUCAGCCCCUCUGCAUUCAUUGCGCAACUAUGAGGGGACAAGCACUUUGCCCUCAGUUGUCGUCAGCCCACACUAUUCCUGUCUGGCACAGCCUCCCUUCCCAUUGGCCAAACUCUCACCAUUCCUUUUCAAGCUCCGCCUAAGUGUCUCACCCCUACACCCUUUCCCUUAAUCAGGCUGAAGUUGGAAUGUGUUCAUCCAAUUUUAUUACAACUAAAUAUAUUCAGCUUAGCCUAAGCUUUAGCAGAUUUUAAUAGUUAUUAAUGGAAUAUUCAUCUAUUUCCCUAUACGCACUGUAAUCAACAUUCCCAUUCUCAAAUGCACUGCUUAAAGUAUCUGAAGAUCAGACACUUUAAGUAAUUUAAAUUUAUGACAAAGUUUUCUGAAGAUAUAAGCAGAUCCUGUUAGAUACAGAUGCACAUACAAUUCUCAUGAACAAUUUCAUGCACUGUAGCAUGAUCAAAAUAUCUGACCAGAGCCUGUCACUGCACCUUGUAGACAUUCUUACAAACAGCUCUUAUCUAAUCCUCAUAACCCAUCACCUGUCACCCAUAAGGGACAAUUAAACCAUGGAUCCACAUGAUUACUGAAGGCUUGUUUCUUCAUUGGCUGCAGGAAUCUCAUGAAAAUCAUAUCUUCAUAUAUAGCAAAACUUUGGGCUUAUGCAUCCUUCUAGGAAGAAUAAGCAGUUAAUGGGCAUGAAAGGCCUUUGAACCCUAUGUAGCCCUGCACGUGUGCAAGCUGCUCUUUUAAGUGAGCAGCAAAAGACAGUGGCAGACGUCAGGCUGGGCUCCAGAUCCGUCUCUACCUUAAUAGUCAGGUGAUCUCUAUCAGGUCAUUUGUACUCUCUGAACCUCAGGUUUCUUGUCUGCCAAUGGAAAUUAUAAUAAUGCCUGCCCUGCUGUGAAGUUCAGAUGAGCUCAUGGAUGUGAACACCUUCUGAGGGUCACAGAGCGACACUUGAAUGCCAGCCAUCAUUUGUUCAUGUAUAUUAACUCUUACUUUCUACAACACUAGGAGAUAGAUAUCAUCCCCUCCUUUCACAGAUGUGGAGACUCCAAUGAGUAGACCUUUGAGGAUCUGACCUUCCAACUCAAAUCUCCCCAUCCAAUGCUCUUCCCCUCUGUGCUCAGGCCCCAUCCUCGGCUCCCAUCCCUGCUCACAGCUGCAUCAUGUGCAUACUGUGAGCAUCACAUUGUAUAGUCUUACCUUAAGUCUGGGGUCCAAUCAGUUGUCAAGAGCCACACACUGGGAAGAGGGAGAUCAAGGAAAACCAGCCAAGCUCCUCCCAAUAUGAGGAUGUUUGCCAAGUUCCAGGGAGCACCUGCUACCCCCAGCCCUGGGUGAAGUAAGCACUGGAGAGAACAGACAGGAUACAAUGGCAUUGCCCUGAGAAGGCUUUUCAUCUGGCUGAGGCAAGGACUUAGAGACACAGCACAUCUCAAUUCAGACCAGCCACACUCCAGCGCUCGACAGCCACCUGUGGCUCACGGUGUGUACUGGACAGUGCAGCUGGAACCCAAUGGAUGAUUUUUUAAGGUCCCACUUGUGUCCCUCACUCAUCUAUAGGCUCCAUGAAGUCAGAUAUCAAACAUUUCCAUUGCUACAUUCUCCAGGCCUAAUCUGGAUCCUCCCAGAGUGGCUCUUCAGUGAACAUCUACUGAAUUGAACAGACAUGCACAGAGCAGAUGGACAGCACUAGGGACUUGUCCUCUGGCCCCAGAGGCCCAUGAAAGAGUAUCCAGGCAGGCUGGACUAUGCUGGGAAGGGGGAAGGCCUGGGCCCUCAUCAAAAGGGAAGGACCCCAAAAGGAAGAGAAACCCAUCAACAUCCUGUUAACUAAAUGGAGAGAAAUGCUGUUUAGGAAAAAAAAAAAAAAAACAUGAUAAAUAAAAUUCCUGAGAGAAGCUGCUAAGUCAGAGAGCACCACACUCAUCCCCUUCUGCAAGAGAAUGAGAAGAUGGAGCUACAGCUCCCGUCCCACAUCUGCAUCUGGUGUGGCCUUCCCGCCACGGGCGAUGGGCCGGACCUGGCUCCACAGACAAAGGGGCUGCUUAGGCUGGGCUUGAAAUAGGCUGAGUGAAAACCUGCGAGCCCCUGGCUGCUUCCCUGUGCAUGGAAAGGAGCUGUUGGUGAGUAUGGAGAUCUCUGUCCUUGUCAGAGGAAGGCUUCCUCAUCACAAGGCAGGGCAGGUGUCUGUGCCCAAGAGCUGAGCAGAGAACAAGCAGCCAGUGGAGGCUUUCGCCUGAACUGUGCAAUCCUUACCUGAUUGGGAAGUGCAAGUGACAAUUAAUAAAUUAAUAGCGAGUCACUUUAUGUAAAUACCUCUCUUUUUGUACACUAUAUUUAGAGAAACAAACUACUUUGGCAUUUAGAGAUA